RNAcentral lists this ribosomal RNA (402 nucleotides) under uncultured bacterium. RNAcentral's name for it is "bacterial SSU rRNA". It matches the Rfam family "Bacterial small subunit ribosomal RNA", at positions 89 to 507 of the family's 1533-position model. The record is from RNAcentral.
AGUACAGUGGCGACCGGGUGAGUAACACGUGACCAACCUGCCCUCGAGUGGGGAACAACAGCGGGAAACCGCUGCUAAUACCGCAUAACAUCCUCGGAUCGGAAGAACUGGGGAUCAAAGGAGCAAUCCGCUUGAGGAGGGGGUCGCGGCUGAUUAGCUAGUUGGCGGGGUAAUGGCCCACCAAGGUGAAGAUCGGUAGCCGGCCUGAGAGGGCGCACGGCCACACUGGAACUGAAACACGGUCCAGACUCCUACGGGAGGCAGCAGUGGGGAAUGUUGCGCAAUGGGGGAAACCCUGACGCAGCAACGCCGCGUGGAGGAUGAAGUCCCUUGGGACGUAAACUCCUUUCGACCAAGACGAUAAUGACGGUACUGGUGGAAGAAGCACCGGCUAACUCUGUG